This is a long non-coding RNA of Dromaius novaehollandiae (emu), 506 nucleotides long. RefSeq lists it as uncharacterized. The transcript has 3 exons. NCBI's taxonomy places the organism in Eukaryota, Metazoa, Chordata, Aves, Casuariiformes, Dromaiidae. The record is from RefSeq and is a predicted model, not a curated record.
CCUUGGACUGAUGCUUAGCGGUGCCAGGGAUCCCCUGCUCCAGUAUUGCCUUGAUCGGGAAAAUGCUGGGGACUCCCCGUUCAGACGCAGAGAGCCACCACUGCCAAGGCGUGUCGGGCAAUGCUGCGCUGGUGCCCCCGGGAGCCGUCCGUGAGGAGACCCCCAGAUGCCCCCAACCCGUUUCUGGAAGAUUCUGAGAGGGCAGACUGCGCAUGACAUCUAAUCUGUAUGGGAAGUAAGGAAGCACCUCCCAGAGGUGGGGCAAGAACCUUUAAAAACUGCAGACUGGGUGAAUAGUGGGGGAUGGUGGCUUGUUUGUGAUGGCCGAAGAUCUUGAGUGGAGUUAGUGGAACAUCAUCGGACUUGGAGUGGUGGUAGCUAGUUUCUUUUUUCCUUUUCCAACUUUCUCUAUCUUUUCCCCUUACCCUUGUUCUCUUCUCCCCUUUGCCUUUCCCCACCUUUUCUCCCCACUCUGUUGAAAAUAAAAGUUAAAAGGUUGUACAAUA